GGGACCGUGGGGUAGCUUGGUAUCCUUCAGCGUUUGGGACGCUGUAACCCCGAUUCAAAUUCGGGCGGUCCCA
RNAcentral lists this transfer RNA (73 nucleotides) under Halobacterium noricense. RNAcentral describes it as "tRNA-Pro". The record is from RNAcentral. RNAcentral also lists the same sequence under 10 other names. Lineage: Archaea; Methanobacteriati; Methanobacteriota; Halobacteria; Halobacteriales; Halobacteriaceae.